CCUACGGGGGGCUGCAGUGGGGAAUAUUGGACAAUGGGGGGAACCCUGAUCCAGCCAUGCCGCGUGUGUGAAGAAGGCCCUCGGGUUGUAAAGCACUUUCAGUGAGGAAGAACGCCUGGUGGUUAAUACCCAUCAGGAAAGACAUCACUCACAGAAGAAGCACCGGCUAACUCCGUGCCAGCAGCCGCGGUAAUACGGAGGGUGCGAGCGUUAAUCGGAAUUACUGGGCGUAAAGCGCGCGUAGGUGGCUUGAUAAGCCGGUUGUGAAAGCCCCGGGCUCAACCUGGGAACGGCAUCCGGAACUGUCAAGCUAGAGUGCAGGAGAGGAAGGUAGAAUUCCCGGUGUAGCGGUGAAAUGCGUAGAGAUCGGGAGGAAUACCAGUGGCGAAGGCGGCCUUCUGGACUGACACUGCCACUGAGGUGCGAAAGCGUGGGUAGCAAACAGGAUUAGAUACCCUGGUAGUC
This 465-nucleotide ribosomal RNA is filed under the name Vreelandella stevensii. Its description in RNAcentral is "partial 16S ribosomal RNA". It matches the Rfam family "Bacterial small subunit ribosomal RNA", at positions 338 to 795 of the family's 1533-position model. Lineage: Bacteria; Pseudomonadati; Pseudomonadota; Gammaproteobacteria; Oceanospirillales; Halomonadaceae. The record is from RNAcentral.